AUGCCAUGAUGAGGGCAAGCUUUAGUUAAAUCAUUUAAUCUUUCCCAAGCUUCAGCAAUUGAAUCCCUAUCCUUUUGACUAAAGUUUUGAAUGAGGUGCCU
Molecule: non-coding RNA, 101 nt
Organism: Lupinus angustifolius (narrow-leaved blue lupine)
Lineage: Eukaryota; Viridiplantae; Streptophyta; Magnoliopsida; Fabales; Fabaceae
Source: Rfam